Molecule: long non-coding RNA, 547 nt
Filed under: Fukomys damarensis (Damara mole-rat)
Lineage: Eukaryota; Metazoa; Chordata; Mammalia; Rodentia; Bathyergidae
Description: lncRNA (ENSFDAG00000033544.1)
Source: RNAcentral
AGUUUAUCCAUUCCAUACUCUUGAACUCCUUUAUCCCAUCUCUGGAAACCUACACCAAUUUGUGAAGGUCCUUCUGGUAAGCAGAGUGUUUCCCCAUACACUGCUGAGGGGGACUGGGAGUCUUGUUUUAUAGAUGACUUACCAGAGGUUGUGAAGGACCUGGGCUGGGAUCCAAGUAUUCAAAUCCUGUACACUGUGUGCGAUGUCAUAUUUUUCUUCCUUUUGACUCUAUUGGUUCCAUAACUGUUACCCAGUUGGAAUUGACAAGAGAACCAGGCAAGAGAUCUGGCCACUGCAUAAAGGUCAUUUGUUCUCGCCAAGCCCUUCAGCGGUAGCACGUGUUCCAGCAGAAUCAGUGGUUAACAGGAACUCAGCCUGCAAUUCCUUUGCUGGUGGAGAGAGAGAGAGGAAGCCAGAGGUGUCAAGGAGGGAGGAACAAGGAAAUUAGUCCCUUAGAAGACAGAAGAAUAAUUUUCAAGUUGCUAAAUGUGAGUAUCAAAAGAAUUUUUAUUUUGAUAUGCUUGUAGGUUAAUUAGUGCUGCCAAGU